RNAcentral lists this long non-coding RNA (3491 nucleotides) under Homo sapiens (human). RNAcentral's name for it is "long independently transcribed non-coding RNA 1940 (LINC01940)". The record is from RNAcentral. Lineage: Eukaryota; Metazoa; Chordata; Mammalia; Primates; Hominidae.
AUUCCAAGCUGUCACCCCGAAGCUGAGUGAACUCCGCAAAGCGUCUUCUGUGUACCUGGGAGGAGCAUGGUGCCAUUUCCCUUCCUCCUUCAGACUUUCUUCUACAUGGAAGGCCCCGUCCUCCACAGGUCCCAGCCUCAGCUGACACUCGGGUCCCAGGAGGCUCUGCGAAGGUUUGCUGGGCGGUUCCCCCGCACGCCGGGCUACAACAAAGGAACACAGCAUGACACGUGCUGUGAACCUCAGCUGUGAGACAACCGAAGGAGAGACAACAUUCAGCAAAAACAGAGCCCAAACUGUCCCCGUUUCUCUCAGCCCCAACUGCUCCAUGGCUUGGAGUGCAGCAAAUGUUUCAGCCGCGCUCAAAGGGAAGGCUUUGCUCUGGAGUCAGCAUGCAGAGCUCGCCUCGACUCCCCUCCAUGCCGCUCCUCACCAGCACUGGCUGGGUUUGAAUCUCAGCUCCCUGGCUCCUCGCUGUAAGCCCUGGAAUGCAAACCCCAAGGGCCAAACACCCCGAGGCUCUCAGGUCCCAGGCGCGGACACCUUCCUGGCCUUGGCUGUCAUGGCCCAGAUGGAAGCAAAGACAACUCCCCUCUCCACAGGUCGGCUGGUCCUCCUGCCCCGAGAGCAGGAGCCCAGGCACAGGCUCUGUACAGAGUUCUCCAUCUACUUCUCCCAGGGUGGCUAUGCAAAGGCCGUCUGCCUCUCGCUCUCUGGGUCCCACCUGCAGCCUGUCCCAGUGGAUUCUGUAGGCUCCACAGUGAUGCUGGGAAAAGACCCAAACACCCGGACAAAGCACGUGGACAGCUGCCAAUGCCAAAACGGCAGGAAGCAAGGGAAAGGCAGCUGGCUCCGACCCUUUGCCAACCGUGUGCAACGCUGCAGGCACCUAGAGCCAGCGAGGAGCUACCAAACUGGUUCCCAUCUAUGCUUGCAGCGGCUGCUGUCGCAGAGGCAGGACAGGGGUGCAUGGCUAUGCCAAGUAUCCUUCUGGGAUGAGCCGAUUCUCUUGUCCCAGGUCGGGCAUGAUGGAGAGGCCAGAAGGUAGAAGACCGGGAUCACGGAACAGGAUCAGGACCCCAGAACAGGACCGAGACCAUGAAACAGGAAGCAAGCUACAUCCAGCACCCAGUUCAGAGAGAGGGCUGGGGACGCCGACACUCCACCUCCUUCCCAGCAAACUCGGAAGGCUCCAGGGCAUCCCUGGAGCUGCUCUGGCAGAGAAGAAUCAGUGUCCACACGUGCAGCUCUCGCUCGAGGAAGGGCAGGGGCGACAUCAGAGGCAUGCUUUGCACAGCACACGCUUCUAGAAUGGCUGGGAUUUCAACCUUGAAAGUCUCAACUCCUUCUUCCUCCUCAGAUCUUGGGAUUUUGAAAGUGAUUCCUAAAUGCCUUUCGAUCUCAUUUUUGCCGAAGGAGAUGGUCCUAAUUUACUGCAUUCCAAUUGGAAACAUUUUUGAGAGUAAAAAUACCUGAAGACAUGUUGGGCCUGGAGGUAGCAGACUCAAAAUUAAAGCAGGGGCCCCUCUAUCCACCGCCCCCCAGAUUGCAUUAAACACAGCAUGUUGGGGAUCAGUGAGUUGCCAUGGCCCUGCAAUCAGACAUUUUGCCCUCUGAAAUUUAGCCUUGAUUUUGAAGCCCUGAGUUUAGUAUAUUUAGAUGAGCUGACGGGCCCAGGGAGUCACUCAGAAAGGGUAGAGGUCCUUCAGAGCUGCGUUAAGAUACAGUGGGAGGGGGUCAAAUUGCUAAUUUCAUCUGCCACUGAAAACUCCCAAACAGCAGAGAACUUCCCAGAAGACUUGUGAAGUUGGGAGUCUGCAGGUGGCGGGGGUUGGGUGGGGAGGUGAUGGCAUUCUACCCCUAAGAGAGCAUUUUGAAGUUGAAGCUCAACUUAAAAUAUUUGUGCCUAUUUUUGAGACAGGGUCUUGCUCUGUCACCCAGGCUGGAGUGCAAUGGCACCAUCUCAGCUCACUGCAGCCUCGACCUCCCAGGCUUGAGCAAUCCUCUCACCUCAGCCUCCUGAGUAGCUGGGACUACAGGCAUGCACCACCACACUUGGCUAAUGUGUGUAUGUGUGUGUGUGUUUGUAGAAAUGGGGUUUUGCCCUGUUGCCCAGGCUGGUCUCAAACUCCCGAACUCAAGCCACCUGCUCUCCUCGGCCUCCCAAAGUGUUGGGAUUACAGAUGUGCAUCAUCGUGCCCAGCCACAUUAUGCUUUUUAGAGGGACAUCACCAAUCAGACAGUGGCCUGGGCUGGACACAGCAUCCCUGGAAGACGGCCCCUCUCUAAGGUGUCAUCUGCCAUUAGCCAAGGACCCUCUUGUCUCUCUAGCUCCAAGUCUCCACAGAGGAUGUGCUCAAAAUGACCUCUGUGGAGACCCUCUCUCCAGAUAAAGCCUCCUUCAGAUAAAGCCUCUUGCGGAUAAAGCCUAAAGCACUGGUGGUCAGGACUUCAACGUGUGAAUUCCAGGAGGACACACUUCAGCCCAUUACAGACCUGAUGGCUUCUGCCAGACACCCAGCCGAUCCCCAUGGCUUAUGGAGGAAGAAGACAAGUGGAGACGGGGAGGUGGUCGGGCGACCCUUUCCACGGCCAGCAGCAACUGCACCCGUGUCUGGGCACCUCCUGAGUGCUGUAAGCCCCCAUGCAUCAUCAAGACGGAGGCCCAGGCAAGGGCAGGUGGGAGCUGAAACCCGUCUCAGGAGAUCCCCAAGCCACCUUCCCUUGGUCCCAGCCCAGAUUGUGGCUCCCCUGUGUGCCUCCCAGGCCCCAGGAUAGACGUCAACCGUGUCCCCUUGUGGGUGCCUUGAGCUUAGCACCUGCCUGUCCCUUCCAGGGGCCCCUCUAAUACAGGACUUACAUCUUCAUGAAGACACUAACUGUACUAGUGCGUGUUCUCCAGAGGAGCAGAGCCACUCAAGGUGUGCACAUCAGAAGAGAGCUAUUUUAAGGAACUGGCUGACGCUGUCAGGCCUUCAACUGAUUGGGUGAGGCCCACCCCUUUUGACGAGAGCCACCUGCUUUACUCGAAGGCUAAUCUCAUCUAGAAACACCUUUACAGCACCACCGUCCAAAGUGGAGAUGAUGUCAGCAAAGGGGAUAUUGAAGCAGAUGGAGUGGUACAGAUGGUGGGUCACUAAAACGCAGGUUGAAGGCUUUUCACAUCAAGUCAUGCCUGUGCCCACAGACAGGGGAGGAGGUGGCAUGAGGCUCCAAGCUCUGGAGCCUUGGAAGUCAGGCAGGCCCCACUGGAAUCACAGCCCCCUACUCCCAGGCACACCUAAGGAGUCAGUCUCUCCUGACCGAUGGAUCCAACUUCACAGCUGCGACUGAGCACCAGGGGGACGUGGCGCUGGGAAAUUGUCCCGGCAGACGAGACUGAACCCUAGAAGGGCCCCAUGGUAAAACUGAUAAAGCCUGAAAUGUGUGUGCAGACAUGGGCCUCUUUAUUACCACACAACGACCAUUAAAAUCUCUCUGCUAUGGUGUAA